ACACCCCCAGCACGCACACAAGAAAUGUAACUUAACUGAUUAUCCUCACAAAUCAGUCCGGAAAAAAUUCAAAACACAUGCACAGGAUUUAUUUUCUCAGAGGCUCUGUGGCAUGCAUUCCGGGAGGAACGUGGCAUUCAGGUCGGAGGGUUCUACGCGGAAUAGAGAAUAGAUGCAACCGUAUGAUUUGUGGUUGGAAAAGAAAGGGAACGUCUGAUGUGCUCCUUCCUCCCCUACCCUAAUGUUCAGCACUUGGAGACGGAUGGUCGGCUAAACUUAUCAUUUAACCGAGAGAAUCAAGUUGUUGAGACUGGCUUUUCUUCCAACCGGAUACGUGAUGGGUGGAGCAGGCGCCCCCUGUUCUGUCCCAGCAACCUACUAAGACUUCCGAACAGGAAGGAUUGACCUGGAAAAUGGUGUCCACAGAACUUUACAUAAGAUUAUGAAAAAUGAUACAUUGGUCUGGACAGAAGAGUAAAUUGGAAAAAUUUGUCAAUAAGCUUAUCCUGCAGGAAUGAGAAGAGGAACAAGAUCCAGCUGAACCUAGCCUCUGUUAGUUUUAAUCAUUCAGAUCUCUGUGGUGCACCUCUUUCAUUUACUGAUUUAUUGUAUUGAUAUAAGUUGAUGAACAUAUUUUGGGGUAACAUGGUAUUUUGAAACAUGUAUACAAUGUGUAAUGAUGAAAUUAGGAUAAUUGGGAUAUCCGUCAUCUCAAACAUUUAUUUUUUCUUUGUGUUGAGAACAUGCUAAUUCUUCCCUUUUAACUGUUUGGCAAUAUACAAUAACUUAUUGUUAACUCUGAUUUCCCUACUGCCAUAUCGAAUGCUAGAACUUAUUCCAUCUAUCUAGCUGUACUUUGUACCCAUUAAUGUGAAUGGGUUCUUGACAGGCACUGUCUUAAGCCCUGAAUCUAACAAGGAUGUCAUGAUGGGCAGCGUUGCUGUACUCAGGGAGGGUGUGGUCUAUAUUUUGUAAAAUGGAACUGCACGUUCCCAAAAGCAAAGGUGAGCUUAUAGACAUUUCUGAUUUUCCUCAGGCCCCGCUAUGCCUUAAUGUCAUUAAAGUACAGCCUUGGGCACGUUUGAUCAUUUAGAUUAUCUAGUUUUUCAAGUGAGGAAUGUGCUGGAAAGUCUUCUGCAGCUCUGAUUUUGUACAGUUCUAUGAUGUCUGGGAAAAAAAAUAAACCCAGAAGGAACUUCUGGAGGCCCAGAACUACUCUCCUGGCAUGGUUUCCUAUAAUAAUGUCCCACACCCAGCUGAUCCUUUAGAAGAACCUGUCCCCA
Molecule: long non-coding RNA, 1283 nt
Filed under: Homo sapiens (human)
Lineage: Eukaryota; Metazoa; Chordata; Mammalia; Primates; Hominidae
Description: non-protein coding lnc-TBPL1-6:1
Source: RNAcentral